RNAcentral lists this transfer RNA (63 nucleotides) under Euplax sp. RNAcentral describes it as "tRNA-Gly". It matches the Rfam family "tRNA". From Rfam's summary of the family: Transfer RNA (tRNA) molecules are approximately 80 nucleotides in length. Their secondary structure includes four short double-helical elements and three loops (D, anti-codon, and T loops). Further hydrogen bonds mediate the characteristic L-shaped molecular structure. tRNAs have two regions of fundamental functional importance: the anti-codon, which is responsible for specific mRNA codon recognition, and the 3' end, to which the tRNAs corresponding amino acid is attached (by aminoacyl-tRNA synthetases). tRNAs cope with the degeneracy of the genetic code in two manners: having more than one tRNA (with a specific anti-codon) for a particular amino acid; and 'wobble' base-pairing, i.e. permitting non-standard base-pairing at the 3rd anti-codon position. The record is from RNAcentral. Lineage: Eukaryota; Metazoa; Arthropoda; Malacostraca; Decapoda; Macrophthalmidae.
AUUUUUUUAGUAUAAUAAGUAUAUCUGACUUCCAAUCAGAAGGUCUAAGUUUUAGAAAAAAUA